AUCCUUUUGUAGCUCAUAAGCAUGACAAUAGGGUAUUCACGCCGUAGUAUGACAUAUGCCUCACUCAAGCCUUGUUACAACCUCUGCACAUUACCCAUACAAUG
Small nucleolar RNA from Ailuropoda melanoleuca (giant panda), 104 nucleotides. NCBI's taxonomy places the organism in Eukaryota, Metazoa, Chordata, Mammalia, Carnivora, Ursidae. The record is from Ensembl.